AAUCAACGCUGGCGGCGUGCCUAACACAUGCAAGUCGAACGCGAAAGUGGAGCAAUCCAUGAGUAGAGUGGCAAACGGGUGAGUAACGCGUGGGCGACCUACCUCUGAGUGGGGGAUAACCUUCCGAAAGGAGGGCUAAUACCGCAUGACAUCCCGUGUUUGGAUACACGGACAUCAAAGCCGGGGAUCGCAAGACCUGGCGCUUGGAGAGGGGCCCGCGUCCGAUUAGCUAGUUGGUGAGGUAACGGCUCACCAAGGCUCCGAUCGGUAUCCGGCCUGAGAGGGCGGACGGACACACUGGAACUGAGACACGGUCCAGACUCCUACGGGAGGCAGCAGUGGGGAAUUGUUCGCAAUGGGCGCAAGCCUGACGACGCAACGCCGCGUGGAGGAUGAAGACUUUCGGGUCGUAAACUCCUUUCGACCGAGAUGAAUUUCCGCCGACCUAACACGUCGGCGGGGUAACAGUAUCGAGGGAAGAAGCCCCGGCUAACUCCGUGCCAGCAGCCGCGGUAAUACGGGGGGGGCAAGCGUUGUUCGGAAUUACUGGGCGUAAAGGGUUCGUAGGCCUUGCUAAGUCAGACGUGAAAUCCCUCAGCUUAACUGGGGAACUGCGUCUGAGACUGGCGAGCUUGAGUGCAGGAGAGGAACGCGGAAUUCCAGGUGUAGCGGUGAAAUGCGUAGAUAUCUGGAGGAACACCGGUGGCGAAGGCGGCGUUCUGGACUGUAACUGACACUGAU
This 741-nucleotide ribosomal RNA is filed under the name uncultured bacterium. RNAcentral describes it as "bacterial SSU rRNA". It matches the Rfam family "Bacterial small subunit ribosomal RNA", at positions 28 to 750 of the family's 1533-position model. The record is from RNAcentral.